This 274-nucleotide ribosomal RNA is filed under the name uncultured bacterium. RNAcentral's name for it is "partial 16S ribosomal RNA". It matches the Rfam family "Bacterial small subunit ribosomal RNA", at positions 523 to 796 of the family's 1533-position model. The record is from RNAcentral.
AUACGGAGGGUGCAAGCGUUAUUCGGAAUCACUGGGCGUAAAGGACGCGUAGGCGGGUUGGCAAGUCAGAUGUGAAAUCCUACAGCUUAACUGUAGAACUGCAUUUGAAACUGCUAACCUAGAGUAUGGGAGGGGGAGAUGGAAUUAGUGGUGUAGGGGUAAAAUCCGUAGAUAUCACUAGGAAUACCGAAAGCGAAGGCGAUCUCCUGGAACAUAACUGACGCUAAGGCGUGAAAGCGUGGGGAGCAAACAGGAUUAGAUACCCCGGUAGUCC